GAUCUUUAAUCACAGUCUGAAAGAAUAUUUAGUAUUCUUGAAAUCGGAAAAAGUAAGACAUCCAAAUAAAUACUUCAAUUGAUGAAUAAGGUUACAGCUUUCAGUAAUCAAGUUGAUGUAAUAAUCAUGGCUAUGAUAUUUUAAUAGAUAUAUAUACAGUGGCCAAUCCAGGAUGCACUGUAGAGGGUGUACACAUUCCCACCCACCUUUUAUUCCCUAUAAAAAAAUAUGUUUAAGAUUGUUUAUCGGAUAUUUUUUUUAAUCCUAAUUGGUUUUUUCUAUUUUCUUGGAUUUCAACUCCCCUUUUAAAAAAUUCUGGAUCCUCCCCAGAUAUAUAUAUUAACAAAAUUUUAUGGCUUAAUCAAGAUCUUUAUCUGAUUUGGUAUCAUUAGUUAUAGAAUGAAUAUUGUCAUCUUUAGAAGUCUUAUACUUAGGUUGUAACCAAUGGAGGAAAAUGUCUAAACUACUUCUUAUACCUAUACCCUGUUAAAUUUUCACCCAACAUUGUUUCAUGUUAUCAUUUGGGUAUUUACCCUAUGGGAAGUAUAGCCAAUAUUGUGACAUAUUUGAACCUGUCCUGUCAGUUUGUCACAUGAUCCCUGUAAUAUUCACAGCCUUUGUACUACAUUUGAUUGCUAAAAAACCUUAUCUCAGUCAUUAUUAAUAAUUUAGAAGACAGUGCAAUUUAUUGAAAUACAUGUAAUUAGCAUUGUAACACAAAUAAAUGUAAUUUUCUUUAUAACCUUAUUGUCUUUUGUCCUACCAGGGAUAGGAAGUAACUUUAUAACUCAUUUAAGCAUGACCUAACAGAAAUUAGGAGUCAUUUUCCACUUCCUUUACUGAGGAAGUGUAAGAGAUAAGUCAUAGUACAUUUCCCAUCUGUCUUUUGCUUUAUAUUUGUCUAUGUAGAAUGUAAUUGAAAUCCAAAUAUACCAGACAUCCCUCCUAACGUGGGAUACUUAUUUUCUGAUUCAUUUUGUUGAUAUUGCAAUAGAGAAUGCUUAGUUUGUCAAGGAGAAAAUUUUCAUUCCAGAGGACUAAAAAAUGUUAUUGACAAAUACAAAUAGUUGAUUGUGUAGAGUGAUAUGUUAUUUCUCUUAAAGUUAUUUAAUGUUUAUUAUAAAGAAUUGCUUUAACUUUUUUUAACUAACUCUACUGUAAUAGGAGAAAUAAAAGACAUUAAUAAU
Molecule: long non-coding RNA, 1187 nt
Filed under: Mytilus galloprovincialis (Mediterranean mussel)
Lineage: Eukaryota; Metazoa; Mollusca; Bivalvia; Mytilida; Mytilidae
Source: RNAcentral